This 498-nucleotide ribosomal RNA is filed under the name uncultured bacterium. RNAcentral's name for it is "partial 16S ribosomal RNA". It matches the Rfam family "Bacterial small subunit ribosomal RNA", at positions 29 to 523 of the family's 1533-position model. The record is from RNAcentral.
AUUGAACGCUGGCGGCAUGCCUUACACAUGCAAGUCGAACGGUAACGCGGGGCAACCUGGCGACGAGUGGCGAACGGGUGAGUAAUGUAUCGGAACGUGCCCAGUUGUGGGGGAUAACUGCUCGAAAGAGCAGCUAAUACCGCAUACGACCUGAGGGUGAAAGCGGGGGAUCGCAAGACCUCGCGCAAUCGGAGCGGCCGAUAUCAGAUUAGGUAGUUGGUGGGGUAAAGGCUCACCAAGCCGACGAUCUGUAGCUGGUCUGAGAGGACGACCAGCCACACUGGGACUGAGACACGGCCCAGACUCCUACGGGAGGCAGCAGUGGGGAAUUUUGGACAAUGGCCGCAAGUCUGAUCCAGCCAUGCCGCGUGCGGGAGGAAGGCCUUCGGGUUGUAAACCGCUUUUGUCAGGGAAGAAAAGGCUCCUUCUAAUAUAGGGGGCUCAUGACGGUACCUGAAGAAUAAGCACCGGCUAACUACGUGCCAGCAGCCGCCGUAA